RNAcentral lists this long non-coding RNA (658 nucleotides) under Glycine max (soybean). RNAcentral describes it as "long non-coding RNA (GMAX_LNC002334)". The record is from RNAcentral. Lineage: Eukaryota; Viridiplantae; Streptophyta; Magnoliopsida; Fabales; Fabaceae.
AAGUGGUGGUGGCGAGUGGUAGUAAUAUGGCUUCUUAGGUGGAGUGGGAGAAGGUGGAGGAGGAGAGUGAUAAUAAUAUGGCUUCUUUGGUGGUGAAGGAGAAGGUGGUGGUGGAGAGUGGUAGUAAUAUUUUGGUGGUGGAGGUGGUGAAGGAUAGUGGUAUGGAGGAGACACCGGUGGGUACUUCUUGGGUGGUGGAGGUGAUGAGUACAAGUAGUUAUCAGCUAAGAUUUGUGUUGGCAAGCUUAGAGACACUAUAGCCAAUACAAGAGUCAAUGUUGCAGAGGCCAUUAGAGACCCCAUUGUUUUUCCCCUCAACCUCACUACAAAGUGGGGUUUUGUUAUGAUCUUUGUGAACCAAGUGCCACCCUUUAUAUAGAUUCUUUCUUUACCCCAUUCAACACCAACUAAUCAUUUUGGUAAAAAAAAAUUCAACCAUACUAAAAUGCGCAAGCAUUUUUCCAAUCAGGUGUUGUUCUCUUUCUAGUAGCAGCCUUCACUUAAUUGUUUUCAAAUAAAAAGCUAAUAAUUCAUCUCAUAAAAAUUUAUCAAUUAAAACAGAAUUUAUUGCCAAUAAGAUAAAAAAGAAAUGGAAAAUAAAUAUGUAAAUAAAUUAAAACUACAUUCCCCAGUAUUCACGUUCAUAAACAGAAAAGGC